This 193-nucleotide small nuclear RNA is filed under the name Oncorhynchus mykiss (rainbow trout). RNAcentral's name for it is "U2 spliceosomal RNA (ENSOMYG00000050209.1)". It matches the Rfam family "U2 spliceosomal RNA". From Rfam's summary of the family: U2 is a small nuclear RNA (snRNA) component of the spliceosome (involved in pre-mRNA splicing). The record is from RNAcentral. Lineage: Eukaryota; Metazoa; Chordata; Actinopteri; Salmoniformes; Salmonidae.
AUCGCUUCUCGGCCUUUUGGCUAAGAUCAAGUGUAGUAUCUGUUCUUAUCAGUUUAAUAUCUGAUACGUCCCCCAUCGGGGGACUACAUAUUAAAUGGAUUUUUCGAACAGGGAGUUCGGAAAUGGGGCUUGCUCCGUCCGCUCCACGCAUCGAACCCGGUAUUGCAGUACCUCCGGGAACGGUGCAACACUU